CGCAUCCUCCUUCCGCUGUCCAUUCUCAUGCAGCCAUAAGUCUCAGAUCAUAGGUCAUGUCUCACUAAACCCAGAGGAACACGGACAUGGGUUAUUUUUUUUUUUAAGAUUUUAUUUAUUUAUUUAUUUAUUUAUUUAUUUAUUUAUUUAUUUAUUUAUUUAUGAGAGACACACAGAGAGAGCCAGAGACACAGGCAGAGGGAGAAGCAGGCUCCAUGCAGGGAACCUGACAUGGGACUCGAUCCUGGGACCCCAGGAUCACGCCAAAGGCAGGGGCCAAACCACUGAGCCACCCAGGGAUCCAGACAUGGGUUAUUAUGCCCUCAUCUUGUAUGUUCUUUAUUCUGUGCCCGCCACAUCCUGUCUUAUUGUUUUCCUAUAUAUAUCCCUGACCACACUGCAAUAAGUUUGAGGGAGUGACUUUCUUUUUUUUUUUAAUUUAAUUUAUUUAUUUGAAAGAGAAAGUACCAGCAGGGGAAGUGGGGUAGAGGGAGAAGCAAACUCUGCACUGAGCAGGGAGUCCGAUGUGGGACUCAAUCCCAGGACCCUGGGAUCAUGACCUGAGCCAAACACAGAUGCUCAACCACUGAGCCACCAAGGUGCCCCUAUCCCUCCCUUUGUAAAGCCCACAAGUCAGAUGUCUGCCUGUGAGCCUGGUACUGGUAAGGCAGGACCCUGGGCAGCAUUGCUCAGGGACUUCAGCUACCCCUUGUCACCGCUCCAUCAGUAGUGCCUCACUCCCACUAACCCACACUGUACAGAGUUAUUAAGGUGCUAGAGGAAGCAGUUAAGAAUGUGGCAUUCCCCAACCCACUCUACCCAUCCCCCCCGACUGAAUCUCUGGCAGAGGAAAAUUUGCUGAAACCAUCUGUUGAAAAGGACAACUCCAAAGUUCAUGUGCAUGUCCUGAUUCAUCUAGGUAACGAUGCCUUAAAGUGAAAAACUGUUUUUGUUUCUAUGAAGAAACCUACAACACCUAAAAUCUAAAACAGCAGCAAACAGUGAGCUAAACCUGGAAGCCAGUGUUAGCCACCAUCUCCGUUGUCUGAUUAUCCAGACUCCCACAGACAUGGCCAAGGCAAGGGUUCAUUCAACAGCCAUCUUUGGAGUUAUGCCUAACCUACAUGUUAGGUUAGUGCUAGCAAUGCUGGGGAUUCAAACUGGCUGAGAGACCUUUUUACCUGGAGCAGAAAAGGUCCAAUCAGGGAGAAGGCAUGAGAACUUACACGAGAAGGCAGGAAGUACUAUAACCCAUAGAGGUGUAUUUGAGCUGUGUGUAUAAAGGUGUUUAAUAAGAGGUGGAGGAGGGUAAAGUGAUAAGGUCAUUGGUAAAGUACAAGGGUCAGUAGUAGACAAUACCCAGGUUAGUUUGCGAAACAUAAACUACGCCCCAGGAAGCAACAUAAAGCUUGCACUCAUACCUUUAAAGUCCUGAUUAUUUAUACACCAGUAGGUAUACAGGUCUGUUUCUCUCCUGGGCCAGAGGCUUCUCACACAGGAUGGACUUUGCACUCACUGUAUGCAGCACUCUGCACCAGACCACAUGAUGGCUCCUGGUUGACAGUAGUUUGAAGAACUUCUUAUUGUUUUUUUUUUUUUUUUAAGAUUUUUAAGUAACUCUGCACCCAGUGUGGGGCUUGAACUCACAACCCCAAGAUCAAGAUCCACAUGCUGCACCGAUUGAGCCCCACCACGUGCCCAGGAAUUUCUAAUGGCCGCAAAUUCACACAGACAGUUCAAAAACCAAACCAUCAUCUAUGUUUUUACUUGCAUGUAAAAGAAACAUACUGUAUAUCUGAUUCCAGAGAUAUAACUCGUCAGACAAGACACUUGUACCUAAAAUGUCCUUCAUUGUGUUUUUCCAUCAUUUACACAAAUGAAGUUUAUUAUUAACAUACUCUGGAGUGAUGCUUCCUAUCUCAAAUCCCAUCAACUCUCUUUCCAGCACCGAAAUGGAGCUCUGCUGUUGGUUGCCACAGGUAGGCUCUGCCCUGGGUGGUGACUGAUAAGGGAGUUCCUGGCCUCAGCUCUGCUGGGCUCACCACAGCUCUCCCAGGCAGGCAGAGCACCAAGAAUGGGUGCCACCCCACCACUAGGCGUGAAAGCCAGGCCCAGGCUGGCUCUUCUGAGGCAUUCUGGUAUGCUUCUCUGUACCUCUCCAAAACCCAGUAAUCUCUGGUGGCUAGGAUUAGAGUCAACUGUUGCUAACUCAUUCCAAGAAGAAAAGCCUAAGGAAAUUUCCAGAUGCCCUUAAGAGUAAAAGGGAUUGCUAGCUGGAAGAGAUGCUAGGACGGGAGUUAUAAACCUAGCUUUAUGGCUACUCUAAUUACAGAUUUAAAUGUGAAAAGCAAAACUUCUUGAAGAAAUAUAAGAAAAUCUCUCUUUUUUUUAAACGUAGGCUCCACACCCAACAUGGAACCCAACGUGGGGCUCACUCGUGACCAUUAGAUGAAGACCUGAGCUGAAAUCAAGAGUCACUUCACCGACUGAGCUACCCAGGUGCCUCCAUAUAAGAAAAUAUCUUAAAAAUAUUGAGAUAGGCAAGGAUUUCUACAAAAGAGAUGUAGAAAGCACCACCUAUAACAGAAAAGAUUAUAAAUUCAACUACUUUAAAGUCAAAAAUGGGUCUUUAUCAAGACACCAUUAAAAGGGUAAAAAGGCCAGUCACAGAACAGAAGAUAUCUGCAACACACAUAACCAACAAAGGGCUAGGAUCCAGAACAUAGGAAGAACUGCCAGUCAGUAAGAAAAAGACAGACAUUUAAAUUGUUUAUUUUUUAAUUUUAAAGAUUUUAUUUAUUUAUUUAUUUGACACAUUGAGAGAGAGGCAGAGACUCAGCAGAGGGAGAAGCGGGCUCCCUGCGGGGAGACUGAUGCGGGACUUAAUCCCAGGAUCCUGGGAUCACCACCUGAGCCAAAGGUGGAAGCUCAACCACUGAACCACCGAGGUGCCCCCAGACAUUUAAAUUGUGAAAAAGGUAAAGGACCUGAACAGGCACUUAAGAAGAAAGCGGAACUACAAAUGGCUAACAGACCUGACAAAAUGCUCAAUUUUAGCUAGAAAGCAGGGGAAUAGGAAUUAAACCCACAAGGAGUUGCCUAUAGGUUAUGCCAAGUGGAAGUAUAAGUUGCUGCUACCCCUGGGGAAGUCAGUCUGACACUAUCCAGUGAACCUGAAGCUAGGCCCGUCCUGUGGUCAGCAGUGCCUUUACCAGUACACACUUCGGGAGCACAUAUGAGAACAUUCUCAGCAGCAUUGUUUCUAACGGCCCCCAGGGUCCAUCAGCAGUGGAACAGAUGAAUGUGAUCUAGUCAUACGGCGGGAUAUUAUCAGUAACAAAAAAUGAAAUGCAACUCGAUGCAAAAAUGCGGGUGAAUCUAGAACAUAUGGUGAGUAAAAAAAGCUAGCCUAAAGGAGUAUAUGUGAUCCCUUUUAUAUGUGAUGUUCGAAAAUAGGCAAGAAUUACAAUGUUUGCAGAUGUAUAUUUUUGGUAAAAAUAUAAAGAUAAGGAAGUGGUUACCAUAACAUUACCAUAAAAACCAGGGUGCGGAUGCCUUUGGAGCACCAAGGGGAUGUGCAGAGGCUUUGGGAUUACCGCCAGUGUUUUAGUUCUUGACCAGGGCAGUGGUUAUGUCAGUUUUGCUUUAUGAUAACUCACAACAUUUAUGUCUCAGACAGACUUCUCUAUUAUAUUUUAUAAUUUAAAAAGGCGUGGUUUUUUUUUUUAAGGACAUAUGGUAAAAGCAACUAUCCUAGUUCUACAUGAAUGAGAUAACUUACUAGUGACAGUAUCACACAGGAUUUUAAAAAAUGUUGUAGCUCAAACAAUCCAGAAAAAAGACAAGAUGAUGAGCCCUGGAAAUCUGUUUUGUUGGCACAGGGAGCAUUGGCAUGAUGGGGACACCGUGGUGAUAGCAACACAAAAAGAAGUUUGAGUCAUUUUCGGAAAAGUAAGAGUGAAAAAUGUUUUCUAAACAUUUCAUGGGUGUAUCUCUGAUUGGAAAUCUGCACAUAAAACCAAGUUAAUGAAUAUUACAAAUUGACAUCCAUUUCAUUUUUAUUCUCAAAAAGUUGAGCCCAAGUCAGCCACAUCUUUUCUGGGAGCUUCCCCUGGGAAAGAAGAGUGCAGCCUGUGUUGGGCCAGUCCCAGUGGCUGUUACCAGCCCCAUCUGACAGUGCUCAAAGGCACAGCUAGAUAAAGUGAUUUAUCAGUGUCCACACAGCUGGGUUGCAGACUGAAAGGUGGAAGGGAAUCCAUAGCAGUGGGUCUUGUGUAACUCAUAGAAUCCACAGCAGGUUAGAAAACCAGGUUCAGGGAUCCCUGGGUGGCGCAGCGGUUUAGCGCCUUCCUUUGGCCCAGGGCGCGAUCCUGGAGACCCGGGAUCGAAUCCCAUGUCAGGCUCCCGGUGCAUGGAGCCUGCUUCUCCCUCUGCCUAUGGCUCUGCCUCUCUCUCUCUGUGUGUGACUAUCAUAAAUAAAUAAAAAAUUAAAAAAAAAAAAACAAGGAGAAUUUAAGCUCAAAUUUAAAAAAAAAAGAAAACCAGGUUCAGUAAACCAGCAGGAAGAGGGUACAUGAGAGCCCAAAUCACCAUGCACAUCCUGCCAUCGUAACAGCCCCAGUAUCAUGGCCUCCACUCAGUUCCAGACCCUGGAUGGUGCUGCUGCUGCCCUCUGCCCAUUCCCUCUGUCUCGCUGCAGACCCAAAGUUCCAGGCUCGAGUAUGCAUUAACCAACAUCCAGUUCCUUUGGUAUGUCCUAGGGACUGGAGGUUUGAGGGAGCAAGGAUCUCACCUCUUGGGGUCCCUGCCAAGAUUCCCAGAUCUCCUAGGCAACAGAGGUAGUUCUCACACAGAACAGUCAGAAAUUGUCAUUGUGAUUUUCUCUUUAGAGGCAGGCAGUGGCAAGGCUGGGACCGGUGCCCAGGACGACAUGAAUUUCCAGUCCCCUCUGUUGCUUUGGACCUGAUGGUGAGAUGGGAGGCAAAUACCAGUCACCAGUGGUGGUGUCCUCACCCUCUCAUAUAGUCACAGGUGUCAGAUCCCCAAGUGAACAGAAAGCUCACCCUAAAAAAAAAAAAAAAAAAAA
This 5086-nucleotide long non-coding RNA is filed under the name Canis lupus familiaris (dog). Its description in RNAcentral is "lncRNA (ENSCAFG00845009150.1)". Lineage: Eukaryota; Metazoa; Chordata; Mammalia; Carnivora; Canidae. The record is from RNAcentral.